AACGUAGGAGCCAAGCGUUAUCCGAAUUCACUGGGCGUAAAGCGCGUGCAGGCGGCUCGAUAAGUUGGAUGUGAAAGCUCCCGGCUCAACUGGGAGAGGCCGUUCAAUACUGUCGGGCUAGAGGGCGGCAGAGGGAGGUGGAAUUCCCGGUGUAGUGGUGAAAUGCGUAGAUAUCGGGAGGAACACCAGUGGCGAAGGCGGCCUUCUGGGCCGUACCUGACGCUCAGACGCGACAGCUAGGGGAGCAAACGGG
Molecule: ribosomal RNA, 253 nt
Filed under: uncultured bacterium
Lineage: Bacteria
Description: partial 16S ribosomal RNA
Rfam family: Bacterial small subunit ribosomal RNA
Source: RNAcentral